UACGUAGGGUGCGAGCGUUAAUCGGAAUUACUGGGCGUAAAGCGUGCGCAGGCGGUUUUGUAAGACAGACGUGAAAUCCCCGGGCUUAACCUGGGAACUGCGUUUGUGACUGCAAGGCUAGAGUAUGGCAGAGGGGGGUAGAAUUCCACGUGUAGCAGUGAAAUGCGUAGAGAUGUGGAGGAAUACCGAUGGCGAAGGCAGCCCCCUGGGUCAAUACUGACGCUCAUGCACGAAAGCGUGGGGGGAGCAAACAGGAUUAGAUACCCUGGUAGUCCACGCCCUAAACGAUGUCAACUAGGUGUUGGGGGAGGAGACUUCCUUAGUACCGCAGCUAACGCGUGAAGUUGACCGCCUGGGGAGUACGGCCGCAAGGUUGAAACU
This 381-nucleotide ribosomal RNA is filed under the name uncultured bacterium. RNAcentral's name for it is "bacterial SSU rRNA". It matches the Rfam family "Bacterial small subunit ribosomal RNA", at positions 524 to 901 of the family's 1533-position model. The record is from RNAcentral.